AGAGGUCCCGAGCGUUGUUCGGAUUCACUGGGCGUAAAGGGUGCGUAGGUGGCUUGAAAAGUUUGAUGUGAAAGCUCAGGGCUUAACCCUGAAAUGGCAUUGAAUACUGUCGGGCUGGAGGUUUGGAGGGGGGACUGGAAUUCUUGGUGUAGCAGUGAAAUGCGUAGAUAUCAAGAGGAACACCAGUGGCGAAGGCGAGUCCCUGGACAACACCUGACACUGAGGCACGAAAGCCGGGGGAGCAAACAGGAUUAGAUACCCUGGUAGUCCCGGCCCUAAACGGUGCGCGUUUGCUGUAGGAGGAAUCGACCCCUUCUGUGGCGAAGCUAACGCGAUAAACGCGCCGCCUGGGGAGUACGGUCGCAAGAUUA
This 371-nucleotide ribosomal RNA is filed under the name uncultured bacterium. Its description in RNAcentral is "bacterial SSU rRNA". It matches the Rfam family "Bacterial small subunit ribosomal RNA", at positions 527 to 896 of the family's 1533-position model. The record is from RNAcentral.